AGUGAACGCUGGCGGUAGGCCUAACACAUGCAAGUCGAACGGCAGCACAGUAAGAGCUUGCUCUUACGGGUGGCGAGUGGCGGACGGGUGAGGAAUACAUCGGAAUCUACUUUUUCGUGGGGGAUAACGUAGGGAAACUUACGCUAAUACCGCAUACGACCUACGGGUGAAAGCAGGGGAUCUUCGGACCUUGCGCGAUUGAAUGAGCCGAUGUCGGAUUAGCUAGUUGGCGGGGUAAAGGCCCACCAAGGCGACGAUCCGUAGCUGGUCUGAGAGGAUGAUCAGCCACACUGGAACUGAGACACGGUCCAGACUCCUACGGGAGGCAGCAGUGGGGAAUAUUGGACAAUGGGCGCAAGCCUGAUCCAGCCAUACCGCGUGGGUGAAGAAGGCCUUCGGGUUGUAAAGCCCUUUUGUUGGGAAAGAGAAGCAGCAGGUUAAUACCCCGCUGUUCUGACGGUACCCAAAGAAUAAGCACCGGCUAACUUCGU
RNAcentral lists this ribosomal RNA (491 nucleotides) under uncultured bacterium. Its description in RNAcentral is "partial 16S ribosomal RNA". It matches the Rfam family "Bacterial small subunit ribosomal RNA", at positions 29 to 506 of the family's 1533-position model. The record is from RNAcentral.